AUGUUCUAAAAACCGGUUCGAACCGGCCAGUCGAACCGUGAACCGAACACUAAAGCGGUUCGAACAUUAAGGAAAACCGUAAAAUUAGGAAACCGGCAUUGAACCGACGAACCGACCGGUUACCGGUCGGUCGAACCGAACCGGGACCCGGCUAGUUUUUUAGCUGUGCAGCAAAACGCUGUCGUUUUGCGUUUUGUGAACCCUAAUUCCCUUUGCCCUUCGCACUUUCGUUUCACGUCCCACAGUUCAGCACUUCAGCUCCACUCUCAUCAAGGGUCAGAGAGACAUAGAGAACGCCUGAACGCCAUCACGAUCCGUCCGUCGCGCCGUCAGCACCGUCGCGCCGUCAGCUCCGUCGCGCAGUCAGCACCGUCGCGCCGUCAGCACCGUCGCGCCGUCAGCUCUGUCGCGCACUCAGCUCCAUCGCGCACUCAGCCACUUCGACCAGUCACCUCCGUUGAGCUCUGAGAGAAAGCAAUAGAGUUCGGUUGAAGCGUUGAAGCCUAAAGCCUCAAGGUGCCUUCGAGCUCUGAGAGAAAGCAAUAGAGUUCUAUGUAAUUUU
Non-coding RNA from Arachis ipaensis, 562 nucleotides. Lineage: Eukaryota; Viridiplantae; Streptophyta; Magnoliopsida; Fabales; Fabaceae. The record is from RefSeq and is a predicted model, not a curated record.